Molecule: ribosomal RNA, 301 nt
Filed under: uncultured bacterium
Lineage: Bacteria
Description: partial 16S ribosomal RNA
Rfam family: Bacterial small subunit ribosomal RNA
Source: RNAcentral
CAGCCGCCGCGGUAAUACGGAGGGGGCUAGCGUUGUUCGGAAUUACUGGGCGUAAAGCGCACGUAGGCGGCUUGGUAAGUUAGAGGUGAAAGCCUGGAGCUCAACUCCAGAAUUGCCUUUAAGACUGCCGAGCUAGCAGGUGAGAGAGGUAAGUGGAAUUCCGAGUGUAGAGGUGAAAUUCGUAGAUAUUCGGAAGAACACCAGUGGCGAAGGCGGCUUACUGGCUCAUACUGGACGCUGAGGUGCGAAAGCGUGGGGAGCAAACAGGAUUAGAGACCCCAGUAGUCCCUGUCUCUUAUAA